UGGGGAAUAUUGCACAAUGGGCGAAAGCCUGAUGCAGCAACGCCGCGUGAGCGAUGAAGGCCUUCGGGUCGUAAAGCUCUGUCCUCAAGGAAGAUAAUGACGGUACUUGAGGAGGAAGCCCCGGCUAACUACGUGCCAGCAGCCGCGGUAAUACGUAGGGGGCUAGCGUUAUCCGGAUUUACUGGGCGUAAAGGGUGCGUAGGCGGUCUUUCAAGUCAGGAGUGAAAGGCUACGGCUCAACCGUAGUAAGCUCUUGAAACUGUAAGACUUGAGUGCAGGAGAGGAGAGUGGAAUUCCUAGUGUAGCGGUGAAAUGCGUAGAUAUUAGGAGGAACACCAGUUGCGAAGGCGGCUCUCUGGACUGUAACUGACGCUGAGGCACGAAAGCGUGGGGAGCAAACA
Molecule: ribosomal RNA, 401 nt
Filed under: Brucella melitensis
Lineage: Bacteria; Pseudomonadati; Pseudomonadota; Alphaproteobacteria; Hyphomicrobiales; Brucellaceae
Also listed under: 1 other name
Description: partial 16S ribosomal RNA
Rfam family: Bacterial small subunit ribosomal RNA
Source: RNAcentral